CUUCACCGAGCCGAGCACCAGCGGCACGUCCCGGUCCUGGCCGUACGUGGCCAGCACCGCCUGCGCCUC
Molecule: non-coding RNA, 69 nt
Organism: Nocardia sp. NRRL S-836
Lineage: Bacteria; Bacillati; Actinomycetota; Actinomycetes; Mycobacteriales; Nocardiaceae
Rfam family: ASpks TB sRNA
Source: Rfam